CUGCGGCAGCGAACGUAUCACCCAAGACAACUUUACGGAGUUGACGAUUGACGGAGCGAAGCGACGUCAAAGCGUUCAUUAAAGUCGAGUUGGCUUAGGGAUACGUUCGUUGGGUAGGGGAGCGUUCUGUAAGCCUGUGAAGGUGUGUCGUGAGGCAUGCUGGAGGUAUCAGAAGUGCGAAUGCUGACAUAAGUAACGAUAAAGCGGGUGAAAAGCCCGCUCGCCGGAAGACCAAGGGUUCCUGUCCAACGUUAAUCGGGGCAGGGUGAGUCGACCCCUAAGGCGAGGCCGAAAGGCGUAGUCGAUGGGAAACGGGUUAAUAUUCCCGUACUUGGUGUUACUGCGAAGGGGGGACGGAGAAGGCUAUGUUGGCCGGGCGACGGUUGUCCCGGUUUAAGCGUGUAGGUGUGUGUUCCAGGUAAAUCCGGUUCACUUUAACACUGAGGCGUGACGACGAGGCACUACGGUGCUGAAGCAACAAAUGCCCUGCUUCCAGGAAAAGCCUCUAAGCAUCAGGUAACAUCAAAUCGUACCCCAAACCGACACAGGUGGUCAGGUAGAGAAUACCAAGGCGCUUGAGAGAACUCGGGUGAAGGAACUAGGCAAAAUGGUGCCGUAACUUCGGGAGAAGGCACGCUGACACGUAGGUGAAGUGAUUUACUCAUGGAGCUGAAGUCAGUCGAAGAUACCAGCUGGCUGCAACUGUUUAUUAAAAACACAGCACUGUGCAAACACGAAAGUGGACGUAUACGGUGUGACGCCUGCCCGGUGCCGGAAGGUUAAUUGAUGGGGUCAGCGCAAGCGAAGCUCCUGAUCGAAGCCCCGGUAAACGGCGGCCGUAACUAUAACGGUCCUAAGGUAGCGAAAUUCCUUGUCGGGUAAGUUCCGACCUGCACGAAUGGCGUAAUGAUGGCCAGGCUGUCUCCACCCGAGACUCAGUGAAAUUGAACUCGCUGUGAAGAUGCAGUGUACCCGCGGCAAGACGGAAAGACCCCGUGAACCUUUACUAUAGCUUGACACUGAACAUUGAGCCUUGAUGUGUAGGAUAGGUGGGAGGCUUUGAAGUGUGGACGCCAGUCUGCAUGGAGCCGACCUUGAAAUACCACCCUUUAAUGUUUGAUGUUCUAACGUGGACCCGUAAUCCGGGUUGCGGACAGUGUCUGGUGGGUAGUUUGACUGGGGCGGUCUCCUCCUAAAGAGUAACGGAGGAGCACGAAGGUUGGCUAAUCCUGGUCGGACAUCAGGAGGUUAGUGCAAUGGCAUAAGCCAGCUUGACUGCGAGCGUGACGGCGCGAGCAGGUGCGAAAG
RNAcentral lists this ribosomal RNA (1308 nucleotides) under Salmonella enterica. RNAcentral's name for it is "partial 23S ribosomal RNA". It matches the Rfam family "Bacterial large subunit ribosomal RNA", at positions 1200 to 2405 of the family's 2925-position model. RNAcentral also lists the same sequence under 1 other name. Lineage: Bacteria; Pseudomonadati; Pseudomonadota; Gammaproteobacteria; Enterobacterales; Enterobacteriaceae. The record is from RNAcentral.